RNAcentral lists this ribosomal RNA (460 nucleotides) under uncultured bacterium. Its description in RNAcentral is "partial 16S ribosomal RNA". It matches the Rfam family "Bacterial small subunit ribosomal RNA", at positions 338 to 795 of the family's 1533-position model. The record is from RNAcentral.
CCUACGGGAGGCAGCAGUGAGGAAUAUUGGUCAAUGGACGAGAGUCUGAACCAGCCAAGUAGCGUGAAGGAUGACUGCCCUAUGGGUUGUAAACUUCUUUUAUAUGGGAAUAAAACGUUCCACGUGUGGGAUUUUGUAUGUACCAUAUGAAUAAGGAUCGGCUAACUCCGUGCCAGCAGCCGCGGUAAUACGGAGGAUCCGAGCGUUAUCCGGAUUUAUUGGGUUUAAAGGGAGCGUAGGUGGAUUGUUAAGUCCGUUGUGAAAGUUUGCGGCUCAACCGUAAAAUUGCAGUUGAAACUGGCAGUCUUGAGUACAGUAGAGGUGGGCGGAAUUCGUGUUGUAGCGGUGAAAUGCUUAGCUAUCACGCAGAACUCCGAUUGCGAAGGCAGUUCACUGGACUGCAACUGACACUGAGGCUCGAAAGUGUGGGUAUCAAACAGGAUUAGAUACCCGUGUAGUC